Molecule: long non-coding RNA, 433 nt
Filed under: Brassica napus (rape)
Lineage: Eukaryota; Viridiplantae; Streptophyta; Magnoliopsida; Brassicales; Brassicaceae
Description: long non-coding RNA (BNAP_LNC021481)
Source: RNAcentral
GAAGAUUUCCCACGAAGUCUUCGGGAAGUUUUCCGAAAUCUUCUGCCCAAAGUGGUACAAAGGAAUGAUGUCAAGUGGAGUCCAACCUUAUCUAUGUUGAGGAAUGAUAUCUAGCUCUAUGUGUAAUAGUUUUGUUUAUAAUAUGUUUUAUGAUUUGUAAGUGUACUAUUUUAGUUGUUAAUUUUUUUGUAAACUUGAAGAGAUGUUAAUCAAAAAAAUUUGAUAUAUAUGUUCAUGUUUUUCCAAAAGUACCUGACAUUAAUGAAGUUAUAUAUACAACAUACCAAAAAAAAAAAAUUUAACCAUUCUACUCACUCAUAACAAAACACAACAAAACAAAAACUUAGUCAAAUUUACUAAAACUAAGAGAGAAGACUUCACAAGAAAACUUAGUCAAAUCACAAAAGAUCAAACUUGAAUUUUAAGUGAAAGU